RNAcentral lists this ribosomal RNA (454 nucleotides) under uncultured bacterium. Its description in RNAcentral is "bacterial SSU rRNA". It matches the Rfam family "Bacterial small subunit ribosomal RNA", at positions 8 to 507 of the family's 1533-position model. The record is from RNAcentral.
AGAGUUUGAUCCUGGCUCAGAACGAACGCUGGCGGCAUGCCUAACACAUGCAAGUCGAACGAGACCUUCGGGGUCUAGUGGCGCACGGGUGCGUAACGCGUGGGAAUCUGCCCUUGGGUUCGGAAUAACAGUUAGAAAUGACUGCUAAUACCGGAUGAUGUCUUCGGACCAAAGAUUUAUCGCCCAGGGAUGAGCCCGCGUAGGAUUAGCUAGUUGGUGGGGUAAAGGCCUACCAAGGCGACGAUCCUUAGCUGGUCUGAGAGGAUGAUCAGCCACACUGGGACUGAGACACGGCCCAGACUCCUACGGGAGGCAGCAGUGGGGAAUAUUGGACAAUGGGCGAAAGCCUGAUCCAGCAAUGCCGCGUGAGUGAUGAAGGCCUUAGGGUUGUAAAGCUCUUUUACCCGGGAUGAUAAUGACAGUACCGGGAGAAUAAGCCCCGGCUAACUCCGUG